CCAUUAUUUAUAUUUUUAUUGUUUAAUCAUUAUAAUAAUCCAUAUUAAUUUUUUCUUUUUCUUCCUCUGAAUAGAUCAAUGGAAAGAAGAAGUUGAAUGGAGCCCAGCCUCCAGAGGUUUUCCUCAGAGCUUUUGAAGCUGCAGCAAAUUAAUAGUUUACAUUAUAUAAGCUGGAAGAGGCAACAAUAAAUCAAGAGUUCAACUUUCCCUCAUGCAUUUGUGUAAUGUUUUAUUAUUUUUAAUUAUUUUUCUUGUGUAAUAUUGGAACAUAACUGUCAUAUGCAUUUUUCCUGCAGUGGAUAUGUUCAAAUUGGAAUGGUUUGAGGAUUUGUGUGGAAAUUUAAAAAUAUAUUUCUUCUUUCAAUAUAACUUUCUGAUCUUCACUAUUUAUCUUCACUACCUAACACCCCGUUUAUGGGCUUUAUCUCGUACACCAAACUAAUAAAAUAAACUUUUAACAAGAAUAUUUUUUUACAAUCACUAAGAAAAAAAAUAAUAAAACAAAAAUAAUAAUUAAAAAAAUCUUUAAUUGGCGUGUUCUAUGAAAUCACUUAUAUUAUACACCUAUCGACAAAUCUUAUCAUAUCGACAUAUCAAUAUUAUCUAUUAGUUACAAAUUUUAAUUGUCAUUUACGCUCUAUUUUGUAUAAAUGAAGUCAAAAUGUUAAAUUCAUUGUAUAUGAUUUUUUCAUGUUUAGAAUAAAUUAAAAAAUGAAAAUUUAUUUAUUUUUAUUUCUAAAAUACUCUAGCCAUAAUAAUGUUAGAAGGCUAGGAGGAUGAAAAGUUUUGGUUAUAAAAUAUUAGGUUGAUUAAUUUUAUGGAAUUCAUUUAGAAAUUUUACAUUUUUCUUGUAAAAUUUUAUAAAUUUUAAUUUAGUUAUAUUCAAAUACAUAGAAUUGAAUUCGUAUAAUUAAUUCUUCAUUCUUUUUCAUACCAAACACAAAAAUUUAAAUUUAUAAUUAAAUUCUAACAAGUUUUUUAGAAUUCAUUUAUUCCAAACAAGACUUAUAAGUCCAAUUAUAUACAAAUCAACCGCAAAUAUAUUCAAAUCCAAUUAAUACAAACUUAGACUACAAUCAAAUACGGAUAUGUAGGAACUAUUAGAAAAAUCUUUGAAUUAAUAAUAUAUAUUUGAUCUACUACUUUGUAGCAUAAACAGAAAUAUAAUAUCUUAAUUUUGAGAAGAUAUUAUCUCUAAUAAAACUUCAAAAUAAUCGUUGUCUUCAAACUAAAUUAUGGGCUUAUUUUAAAUCAUUAAAAAAAAUUUAAAACUUUACAGGUAAUUUUAAUUAUACGUUAAAUUCAAUUUUCUUCUCUUACUAUUCUGAACUUCAAUUUUAAUUAUAAUAGCACCCUAAUUUUAAAUUGUAUCUAAUUUAAUGAGUAAAAUAAACAUGAAUUUUUAAUUAUGGUUUAUUGAAAUUAUAAUUAAGCUAGAUCUCUUAUACAAAUAAGUUUUAUUCAUUACAGCAUAAUUUUAUUUUUAGGGAAUCAUUACUUGUUAAUAUUAUACAAAUAAAACAAAAAAAAAAAGUAGUUUUUAGGUGAAUAUAUUAUUUUUUAUUUUAAUAUUGGGUACAAAAUAAUAUUUCUUUGAAGGCAAUUGAAAAUAAUAUUUAUUCACUAAAUUGGAUAUAAUUUGAAAUUAUGGUGCUAUUGUAACUAAAAUUGAAAUUUAGAAUACUAGAAGUAGAAAAUUAGAUUUAAAGUAAUUAAAAUUACCUAUAAAAUUUGAAGUUUUUUUAAUGAUUUAGCCCUUAAAAUACUUGGACUUUGAUUUUGUAACAUUAAAAGUGAAUUUGACCACAAUCCGGUGAUGAAAGACACCGGAAAACUGAUGUGGCAAGCAUCAUUUAAAAAAAUAAUUUUUUAUUUCACGUCAUCCUGCUCAAAGUUUUUUGUGUUCAUUUUUUCUAUUUUGUAAGACCUCCAUCUCUCUUCUUCCAAUCGAGGCUUUUCGAUCUUCAUCUCCGUAUAUAAACCCAUAGAUCAAUAAUCAAUUCAUCAAACAACCCAAAAUCAAAACAAACCUCUUUUCAAUUUCCUUCUAUUUAUGAAUUUAAACGACACAAACCCAAGUUUUACAAUUCUCAAUAUGCUAUCAAAAUUAAAAUUAAAAUCAUAUCCAGUAAAUAUUCUUUGCAAAAACACCUUAGAAUUCAAACAAAACGUAGAAAUAAUAAUAUUCAGGUUUCUAAAUUACAUACCUGAAAUUCUCUUUCUCUCUGUACUAGCUCAGAUCCUUAACAUUUAUUUUUUAAUCGAAAUUCCUGCUUGACCACUGUGAAGGGGAUGAGAGAAAAAAAAAAAAAAAACACCUUUUUAAUUGAAUAAAAUGAUCUCUUGUUCAAACCGAAACUUUAUAACAUCGGCAAAUGGUACUUUUUUUUGUACAGCUAACUUAAGCAAACUGGAAUUUUCUCUCACAAAAAAGAAGUCUUUUAUAGGUGAAAAGCAAUUCAUGGAUGGUUAUUAAGGCUUGUGGAGAGUGCAAAUGGCUUGUUGUUUGUUGGUUAUUUAUAAAAUAAGAAAAUAAGGGAGAGAGCAAAGAUCGAAAGAAGAAAAGAAAAAUAGCCAUUGAAGAGAAAAAUGAGAUAUGGAAGAUCAUUUAGAAGAAAGAGAAAAUGGGCACAAGUUCCAUCUCCCGAGACUUUGACGCCGAAUAAAAAUUUAUCUUUUUUAGAUCAUU
RNAcentral lists this long non-coding RNA (2689 nucleotides) under Jatropha curcas. RNAcentral's name for it is "long non-coding RNA (JCUR_LNC003005)". The record is from RNAcentral. Lineage: Eukaryota; Viridiplantae; Streptophyta; Magnoliopsida; Malpighiales; Euphorbiaceae.